CAACAGGGAUUGCCUCAGUAACUGCGAGUGAAGCGGCAAGAGCUCAAAUUUGAAAUCUGGCGUCUUUCGGCGUCCGAGUUGUAAUUUGGAGAGACAUCUUCGGAGAUGGAGCCGUCCUAAGUUCCUUGGAACAGGACGUCACAGAGGGUGAGAAUCCCGUGCUCGGGCGGCUACCCGUUUCCAUGUGAAGUGUCUUCGACGAGUCGAGUUGUUUGGGAAUGCAGCUCAAAAUGGGUGGUAAAUUUCAUCUAAAGCUAAAUAUUGGCGAGAGACCGAUAGCGCACAAGUAGAGUGAUCGAAAGAUGAAAAGCACUUUGAAAAGAGAGUUAAAAAGUACGUGAAAUUGUUGAAAGGGAAGCGCUCGAGACCAGACUCGACUUUCACCGAUCAGCCGUGCUUCUGUGCGGUGCACUCGGGGUUUGUCGGGCCAGCAUCGGUUCCGGCGGUGGGAUAAAAGGCGCUGGAAUGUGGCUCCCCUCGGGGAGUGUUAUAGCCAACGUCACAAUGCCACCAGCUGGGACCGAGGAACGCGCUUCGGCGAGGAUGCUGGCGUAAUGGUCUUUAGCGACCCGUCUUGAAACACGGACCAAGGAGUCUAACAUCUAUGCGAGUGUUCGGGUGUAAAACCCCUGCGCGAAAUGAAAGUGAACGGAGGUGGGAACCCGCAAGGGUGCACCAUCGACCGAUCCUGAUGUCUUCGGAAGGAUUUGAGUAGGAGCAUAGCUGUUGGGACCCGAAAGAUGGUGAACUAUGCCUGAAUAGGGUGAAGCCAGAGGAAACUCUGGUGGAGGCUCGCAGCGGUUCUGACGUGCAAAUCGAUCGUCAAAUUUGGGUAUAGGGGCGAAAGACUAAUCGAACCAUCUAGUAGCUGGUUCCUGCCGAAGU
Molecule: ribosomal RNA, 885 nt
Filed under: Pyronemataceae sp. A1 KH.03.125
Lineage: Eukaryota; Fungi; Ascomycota; Pezizomycetes; Pezizales; Pyronemataceae
Description: eukaryotic LSU rRNA
Rfam family: Eukaryotic large subunit ribosomal RNA
Source: RNAcentral